UCUUCCCUCUUUCUUCGUGCCUAAUACAUGCAAGUCGAGCGAACGGACGAGAAGCUUGCUUCUCUGAUGUUAGCGGCGGACGGGUGAGUAACACGUGGAUAACCUACCUAUAAGACUGGGAUAACUUCGUGAAACCGGAGCUAAUACCGGAUAAUAUUUUGAACCGCAUGGUUCAAAAGUGAAAGACGGUCUUGCUGUCACUUAUAGAUGGAUCCGCGCUGCAUUAGCUAGUUGGUAAGGUAACGGCUUACCAAGGCAACGAUGCAUAGCCGACCUGAGAGGGUGAUCGGCCACACUGGAACUGAGACACGGUCCAGACUCCUACGGGAGGCAGCAGUAGGGAAUCUUCCGCAAUGGGCGAAAGCCUGACGGAGCAACGCCGCGUGAGUGAUGAAGGUCUUCGGAUCGUAAAACUCUGUUAUUAGGGAAGAACAUAUGUGUAAGUAACUGUGCACAUCUUGACGGUACCUAAUCAGAAAGCCACGGCUAACUACGUG
RNAcentral lists this ribosomal RNA (497 nucleotides) under uncultured bacterium. Its description in RNAcentral is "partial 16S ribosomal RNA". It matches the Rfam family "Bacterial small subunit ribosomal RNA", at positions 36 to 507 of the family's 1533-position model. The record is from RNAcentral.